RNAcentral lists this ribosomal RNA (562 nucleotides) under Ischnura capreola. Its description in RNAcentral is "partial large subunit ribosomal RNA". It matches the Rfam family "Eukaryotic large subunit ribosomal RNA", at positions 1389 to 1891 of the family's 3401-position model. The record is from RNAcentral. Lineage: Eukaryota; Metazoa; Arthropoda; Insecta; Odonata; Coenagrionidae.
UCGCGGCGGCGUGCGCAGAAGGGUCUGGGCUCGAGCCUGCCUGGAGCCGCCGCCGGUGCAGAUCUUGGUGGUAGUAGCAAAUACUCCAGCGAGGCCCUGGAGGACUGAUGUGGAGAAGGGUUUCGUGUGAACAGCCGUUGCACACGAGUCAGUCGAUCCUAAGCCCUAGGAGAAAUCCGACGCCUACGGCGACGGGAAUAAUUUUUUCGAGAAUGAGAACCCGUUGAUCGGGCGAAAGGGAAUCCGGUUCCUAUUCCGGAACCCGGCAGCGGAACCGCUGUUUGUCGGGCCCUCACAAGGGGUUCGUCAGGGUAACCUAAAAGGGCCCGGAGACGCCGUCGGGAGCCCCGGAAAGAGUUUUCUUUUCUGCAUGAGCGUUCGAGUUCCCUGGAAUCCUCUCGCAGGGAGAUAGGGUUUGGAACGCGAAGAGCACCGCAGUUGCGGCGGUGCCCGGGAAUUCCCGACGGACCUUGAAAAUCCGGGAGAGGGCCACGUGGAGGUGUCGCGCCGGCUCGUACCCAUAUCCGCAGCAGGUCUCCAAGGUGAAGAGCCUCUAGUCGAU